UUUGAGAAGGAAGAUGAGGAAUUGGAAGGUAGGGACCAAGGGAGCAGAGAGGUGGAUGUUCAACAUUUAGAUGCGUUAGACGUUGAUAUAUGUGAGAAAUCACUAGAUUCCAUUCCAGUAUAUAAGAGGAGAACUAAGAGGGUGGUGAAGCCGUCUAUCUACAAGCGUUCUCCAUUCACUUCCAUCUCUGCCAUUCAAACAACUCCAAGCAAUGCUGCUGACACUAAGAAACUGAGAGAAUUGUGUACUUCUCUAAUACCCUUCUAGGCUAAGAUUGAUCCAUUUAGGAUAAUAUCGGAGGACGAACUACAUGAAUUGGAUAGUUGGGCCAACACAAACAAAGAUUCGACGAAAUUUGUUUGGUUCAGGACCAUAUGGGAGAAAAAUGCAUGGAUUGAUAGUGUGGUAAGUAAUUCACACACAUACAUCUAUGGUUAUUCAACACUUAUAUUAGACAAGAGCUUAAUUCGUCAUCUUUAUUGAUUAGGCUAUUGACAAGUACGUCGAUUUCUUGGAGAGAAGGCACAGUUCAUUUCCUACUUUAUAUACAAAGGACUGCAAGUUCUGUCCGACAUCUUUUCUGCGACGAAGCACGUUCAUUAUUACAAGUAGAGAAAUUCAUUGUUCAUGGCAUUGUAAAACCUCGUGAAGGGCAGAAGCUCAUGUGACAGUAUGAACAGGUAUACGUACCAGUCAACUACGCCAACAGUCAUUGGUCCCUGAUGGUCAUCCACCCUCGAGACCGAGAAAUUGUUAUACUCAACAGUUUAUA
Molecule: long non-coding RNA, 772 nt
Organism: Magnolia sinica
Lineage: Eukaryota; Viridiplantae; Streptophyta; Magnoliopsida; Magnoliales; Magnoliaceae
Exons: 3
Source: RefSeq, a predicted model, not a curated record